Molecule: long non-coding RNA, 859 nt
Organism: Carassius gibelio (silver crucian carp)
Lineage: Eukaryota; Metazoa; Chordata; Actinopteri; Cypriniformes; Cyprinidae
Exons: 3
Source: RefSeq, a predicted model, not a curated record
UAAACACAAUUUGACUGUGCUUCAAAGCAAUAAGGGUGAGACCUCAUUGUUGCUGCUAGAUGAUGCUGGUUAGUCCUGAGUCUACUUAGGAUAAGUUUCAUUUUGAGAAGAUAUGACAGCAAAAGAGAUCUGUGAUUAUUUUGUCUACUGGCCUCGCUACUUCUUGUUCUGUGUCUGGGUCAUCGACAUCGCCAUGAUAUUUUUGGUUUUUCACUUGAAAACAUGUUUGGAAGAAAUAAAAGAGAAAUUCAGAAUGGACGAACCUCAAGAAGAGGACUAUGCCAGCUACAGGACGAGUGGAUUUAUGUGCGAGCAAGCCAGCUGAAGCAAUAAUUGAACAAAUAAUGUAAAAUUACUUGCAUACAAAUAUGACAGUACAAAGAAAGAACUGAAUUCUUGUAAUGGAGCGUCUUAAUAUAGACCUAUUUCAUUCAAAUGCAUACUUUUUGAGGUAAUUUCAAAUAAGUACAGCUUGAUGUGUUGCAGCUUUUCUGAUAAAAAUACUUUGCUUAGUUAUACUGAAAAGAUAAUACGCUUGUAUAAUAUCUAACAUUUUUUAACUUACACAUAAAAAAGUCUGAUAAGGAGAUUCAGGGGGUCUGGAUAUUAUCCCUAAAUAACCCCAUUAAAGGAACUGUUUACUCAAAAUGUGAGAAGACUCAAUAUGUUAUAUUUUUGUGUAAAAAAAAAAAAAUAAUAAAAGUCUCUAAACUUCUUUUGUUGACACCUGUGAAGGAAUUCUUUACUUUAUCAUUACACUUCUUUUUCUUACAGUCUUAACAUUUGUAUGCUUUUGAGUACUAAAUGUCCCCAACACUUGGAAUUUCAUCAAUGUGUUGCAAUAAAAGAUGCAUUUUGA